Molecule: transfer RNA, 73 nt
Organism: Serpula lacrymans var. lacrymans S7.3
Lineage: Eukaryota; Fungi; Basidiomycota; Agaricomycetes; Boletales; Serpulaceae
Rfam family: tRNA
About the family: Transfer RNA (tRNA) molecules are approximately 80 nucleotides in length.
Source: Rfam
ACCUUGGUAGCUUAGUUGGUAAAGCACCAGACCAUGAAAGCUAGAGUCCCAGGUUCAAGCCCUGGCCAAUGCA